UUCACAAGCAAACCGAGCACGACGGCACCAUUCCCUUCUCUUGCCGGGAUUUUGAUUUGUAAUUAAGUUUAAGAAAUUAGGGUUUGUGAAGAAUUUCGGGAUUUGGGAGUUCGGGCGUUUCGUAUCUGCGGCAAAGCACUACUCGGAACCACUCCACAGCAGCAGCGGAGUGACGGACGACAGCCCGCGGUGGUGGUUGACGGAGCUUGCUAGGAUGAUUGGUGAAUGGUGGUUCCUUCAAUGUCAGAAAUUAAAGCCAUGGUUGCUGACAUGCUAGACUUGCGUUUCGCGGAUGAUUCUUUUGAUGUGGUUAUUGAGAAAGGAACAAUGGAUGUAUUGUUCGUGGACAGUGGUGAUCCGUGGAACCCAAAACCUGAAACCGUAAGCAAGGUAACGACAAUGCUUCAAGGCAUCAUCGGGUCUUGAAGCCAGAUGGUAUCUACAUAUCAAUUUCUUUUGGGCAGCCACACUUCAGGCGUCCGUUAUUUGAAGCUCCUAAUUUUACAUGGUCUAUGAAAUGGAGUACCUUUGGUGAUGGAUUCCAUUAUUUCUUCUACACUCUAAAGAAGG
This is a long non-coding RNA of Spinacia oleracea (spinach), 570 nucleotides long. RefSeq lists it as uncharacterized. Lineage: Eukaryota; Viridiplantae; Streptophyta; Magnoliopsida; Caryophyllales; Amaranthaceae. The record is from RefSeq and is a predicted model, not a curated record. The transcript has 4 exons.